UACGUAGGGGGCAAGCGUUAUCCGGAUUUACUGGGUGUAAAGGGAGCGUAGACGGCAGCGCAAGUCUGAAGUGAAAUGCCGGGGCUUAACCCCGGAACUGCUUUGGAAACUGAGCAGCUAGAGUGCAGGAGAGGUAAGUGGAAUUCCUAGUGUAGCGGUGAAAUGCGUAGAUAUUAGGAGGAACACCAGUGGCGAAGGCGGCUUACUGGACUGUAACUGACGUUGAGGCUCGAAAGCGUGGGGAGCAAACAGG
This 253-nucleotide ribosomal RNA is filed under the name uncultured bacterium. RNAcentral's name for it is "partial 16S ribosomal RNA". It matches the Rfam family "Bacterial small subunit ribosomal RNA", at positions 524 to 776 of the family's 1533-position model. The record is from RNAcentral.